GAAGUUAAAAAGAGACCAGGAAGGCCCCGCAUUCAAAUAAAUCGUUAACCCACACAGGUGUGCUAAACUAGGGAAAGACAAAAAGGGAAGAAAGGAACUCGGCAAACAUAAGCCUCGCCUGUUUACCAAAAACAUCGCCUUCUGCCAAAAUCGACGUAUAGAAGGUCCUGCCUGCCCAGUGACUAUAGGUUCAAC
This 195-nucleotide ribosomal RNA is filed under the name Chanos chanos (milkfish). RNAcentral describes it as "partial 16S ribosomal RNA". Lineage: Eukaryota; Metazoa; Chordata; Actinopteri; Gonorynchiformes; Chanidae. The record is from RNAcentral.